Small nuclear RNA from Hyaena hyaena (striped hyena), 164 nucleotides. RefSeq annotates it as U1 spliceosomal RNA. The transcript has a single exon. The record is from RefSeq and is a predicted model, not a curated record. Lineage: Eukaryota; Metazoa; Chordata; Mammalia; Carnivora; Hyaenidae.
AUUCUUACCUGGCAAGGGCAAUACCAUGAUCAUGAAGGUGAUUUUCCAAGGGUGAGGUUUAUCCAUUGCACUCCGGAUGUGCUAACCCUUGCAGUUUCACCAAAUGUGGGAAACUCCACUGCAUAAUUUGUGGUAGUGGGGGUCUGUGUCCAUGCUUUCCCUUG